GGGGCUCUUGGCCCUUCCCUUCUCCUCCCCAGGAGAACAGGAGCCAGAAGCCUCUGGCAGAAUCUGGGCAGAGGCUGUGAUGUCUUUCCCAUCUCUCCCCGGAAAGGGCCCCGCUAUCCCUGCUGUCCCCACUGCCCUGGGGAGGCCCCCUGGCACCCCUAUUCCUGGUGUCACCCGCCCCUGUGCCCAGAGGUGCUGCAUCUGGUGGAGUUCCAGCUGGAGGAGGGCAUCAGUGAUGAGGAGGCCGUGGCCCCUCAUUGACCUGGAGGCACCACAGCACCAGCAGGAGGACAGGUGGCAAGAGGUCGCAAAUUUCCAGACACUGAGGCUGGAUGAGACCGUGGAUCCCACGGGGAUGAUGACCCGCUCACAGCCAAGCUGAGCUUUGAGCAGGGCAGCUCAGAGUUUGUGCCCGUGGUAGUGGGGCUGCAGUGCUUCGGAUCCAUGAGCCGCCGUGACGUCCUCAUCAAACGCUGGCCCCUGCCCCCGCGCUGGCAGUACUUCCGCCCCUCGCUGCUGCCCGACAUCGCCAUCACCAUGUGUGCCCCUCCUGCUUCCAGAUGUUCUACUCUGAGGACUAUGAGCUGCUAGUGCUCCAGCACAGCUGCUGCCCCUACUGCCGCCGGCGCAUCAACAACCCAGGGCCGUGACCAGGGCUGUGCUGGUGACCACCCUGUGGCCCGGAGGUUGGACAGCAGCAAAGUGGUGAUGAAGUCUGUUCCUGGGAGGGCCUGGCGUUGCCACGGAGCCCCUCCCUGUUCAUGGCUGUUCCUGCCUAUUGGUACUGCCAGGAGCUGGGAGGAGAAUGCACAGCUAUUUUCUACGAGAAACUCCUGUUCCUUCUGGAGGGGCUCAAGUGGCCAGCCUCAGCCUGCUGGAGAGCAUGGACCUCGUGGGCCAGCGGCCUGCUCUGUGGCCCCAGAUUGCACAAUAAUGACAAAUAAAGAACUACAUAUUUUCAUCAAUGUCUCCAUUUUUAGCAGAUCUUCAUAUUGUCUGCAACUUAAUUUCCUUAUGUAAAAGUGCACCUGUUUCUAAUUUGAUCUGAGAGGAACAUUGCAUUUGUGUGCUCUUAAAAUUUAAUCUAAUUGAAACAGCAGCCUGG
This 1105-nucleotide long non-coding RNA is filed under the name Heterocephalus glaber (naked mole-rat). Its description in RNAcentral is "lncRNA (ENSHGLG00100040450.1)". Lineage: Eukaryota; Metazoa; Chordata; Mammalia; Rodentia; Bathyergidae. The record is from RNAcentral.